GAUGAACGCUGGCGGCGUGCCUAAUACAUGCAAGUCGAGCGAACAGAUAAGGAGCUUACUCCUUUGACGUUAGCGGCGGACGGGUGAGUAACACGUGGGUAACCUACCUAUAAGACUGGAAUAACUCCGGGAAACCGGGGCCGUAAUGCCGGAUAACAUAUAGAACCGCAUGGUUCUAUAGUGAAGAUGGUUUUGCUAUCACUUAUAGAUGGACCCGCGCCGUAUUAGCUAGUUGGUAAGGUAAUGGCUUACCCAAGGCGACGAUACGUAGCCGACCUGAGAGGGUGAUCGGCCACACUGGAACUGAGACACGGUCCAGACUCCUACGGGAGGCAGCAGUAGGGAAUCUUCCGCAAUGGGCGAAAGCCUGACGGAGCAACGCCGCGUGAGUGAUGAAGGGUUUCGGCUCGUAAAACUCUGUUAUUAGGGAAGAACAUAUGUGUAAGUAACUGUGCACAUCUUGACGGUACCUAAUCAGAAAGCCACGGCUAACUGCGUG
Molecule: ribosomal RNA, 499 nt
Filed under: uncultured bacterium
Lineage: Bacteria
Description: bacterial SSU rRNA
Rfam family: Bacterial small subunit ribosomal RNA
Source: RNAcentral